RNAcentral lists this ribosomal RNA (792 nucleotides) under Chloropicon primus. RNAcentral describes it as "bacterial SSU rRNA". It matches the Rfam family "Bacterial small subunit ribosomal RNA", at positions 498 to 1307 of the family's 1533-position model. Lineage: Eukaryota; Viridiplantae; Chlorophyta; Chloropicophyceae; Chloropicales; Chloropicaceae. The record is from RNAcentral.
UAACUCCGUGCCAGCAGCCGCGGUAAGACGGGGGAUGCAAGCGUUAUUCGGAAUUAUUGGGCGUAAAGCGUCUGUAGGUGGUGAGGAAAGUGUUUUGUUAAAGAUCAGGGCUCAACCCUGGGAAAGCAGAGCAAACUAUCUCACUUGAGUUCGGUAGGGGCAGAGAGAAUUCCCAGUGUAGCGGUGAAAUGCGUAGAUAUUGGGAGGAAGACCAGUGGCGAAGGCGUUCUGCUGGGCCGUAACUGACACUGAGAGACGAAAGCUAAGGUAGCAAAUAGGAUUAGAUACCCUAGUAGUCUUAGCUGUAAACGAUGCACACUAUGUUUUGCAAUUUGCAGAGCAAUAGCUAACGCGUUAAGUGUGCCGCCUGGGGAGUACAUUCGCAAGGAUGAAACUCAAAGGAAUUGACGGGGACCCGCACAAGCGGUGGAGCAUGUGGUUUAAUUCGAUGCAACGCGAAGAACCUUACCAAGAAUUGACAUGCUGCGAACAUUUAUGAAAGUAAAAAGUCUAUUAACUUAGUUAAUAGCGCAGACACAGGUGGUGCAUGGUUGUCGUCAGCUCGUGCCGUGAGGUGUUAGGUUAAGUCCUGCAACGAGCGCAACCCUUGUCUUUAGUUAUUUACUAGAGAGACUGCCGGUGAUAAACCGGAGGAAGGUGAGGAUGACGUCAAAUCAGCAUGCCCCUUACAUCUUGGGCGACUCACGUGCUACAAUGGUCGGGACAAAGAGAUGCUACCCUGCGAAGGCAAGCUAACCUCAAAAACCCGAUCUCAGUUCGGAUUGCAGGCUG